AGAGUUUGAUCAUGGCUCAGGAUGAACGCUAGCGGCAGACUUAAUACAUGUGAGUCGAGGGGCAGCGGAUCCCUCCGGGGAUGCCGGCGACCGGCGAACGGGUGAGUAACACGUAUGGAACUUGCCCUUAACUGGGAAAUAGCUUUGAGAAAUCGAAGGUAAUGUCCCAUACCAUCUGAAGAAGGCAUCUUUUUCAGAUGAAAGCUCCGGCGGUUAAGGAUGGCCAUGCGGUCCAUUAGCUUGUUGGUGAGAUAACCGCUCACCAAGGCUGCGAUGGAUAGCUGAUCUGAGAGGAUGAUCAGCCACAUUGGCACUGAGACACGGGCCAAACUCCUACGGGAGGCAGCAGUAGGGAAUCUUGGUCAAUUGGCGAAAGCCAGAACCAGUCAUGCCGCGUGCAGGAUGAAGGCCCUACGGGUCGUAAACUGCUUUUAUUCGGGAAGAAAAAGUCUGUUUUCACAGACCUUGACGGUACCGAUUGAAUAAGGACCGGCCAACUCCGUGCCAGCAGCCGCGGUAAUACGGAGGGUCCAAGCGUUAUCCGGAUUCACUGGGUUUAAAGGGUGCGCAGGCGGCUAAGUAAGUCAGUGGUGAAAGCCUUCGGCUCAACCGGAGAAUUGCCAUUGAAACUACUUAGCUUGAGUGCAGUAGAGGUAGGCGGAAUGUAGCAUGUAGCGGUGAAAUGCAUAGAUAUGCUACAG
This 701-nucleotide ribosomal RNA is filed under the name uncultured bacterium. RNAcentral describes it as "bacterial SSU rRNA". It matches the Rfam family "Bacterial small subunit ribosomal RNA", at positions 8 to 704 of the family's 1533-position model. The record is from RNAcentral.